GUUCGGGUCCUGUGCAAUGGAAAUCCACGAACCAUGUCAGGUCCGGAAGGAAGCAGCAUUAAGUGGAAGCUUCCAUGUGCCGCAGGGGUGCCUGAGCCGA
Molecule: signal recognition particle RNA, 100 nt
Filed under: Caldibacillus debilis GB1
Lineage: Bacteria; Bacillati; Bacillota; Bacilli; Caryophanales; Bacillaceae
Description: Bacterial small signal recognition particle RNA
Rfam family: Bacterial small signal recognition particle RNA
About the family: The signal recognition particle (SRP) is a universally conserved ribonucleoprotein involved in the co-translational targeting of proteins to membranes. Archaeal SRP consists of a 7S RNA and homologues of the eukaryotic SRP19 and SRP54 proteins.
Source: RNAcentral